UCUCCAUACACUGUUGGGUCACGAUGAAUUUGAGGGAUGACGCAAACAAUUGCCUGGCCCUUUUUAAUCUCAUACUUCCCCUUGCCAAGGUAAAUAGGGUCCUCCUGACUGUCUGACCGGGGCUGC
RNAcentral lists this small nucleolar RNA (126 nucleotides) under Trichophyton rubrum BMU01672. RNAcentral's name for it is "HACA-box snoRNA". The record is from RNAcentral. Lineage: Eukaryota; Fungi; Ascomycota; Eurotiomycetes; Onygenales; Arthrodermataceae.